Molecule: transfer RNA, 77 nt
Filed under: Acidilobus saccharovorans 345-15
Lineage: Archaea; Thermoproteati; Thermoproteota; Thermoprotei; Acidilobales; Acidilobaceae
Also listed under: 1 other name
Description: tRNA-Pro (CGG) (tRNA-Pro-CGG-1-1)
Rfam family: tRNA
About the family: Transfer RNA (tRNA) molecules are approximately 80 nucleotides in length. Their secondary structure includes four short double-helical elements and three loops (D, anti-codon, and T loops).
Source: RNAcentral
GGGCCCGUAGUCCAGUCUGGCAGGAUGCGGGGUUCGGGUCCCUGUGGUCGGGGGUUCAAAUCCCCCCGGGCCCACCA